UACGUAGGGUGCAAGCGUUAAUCGGAAUUACUGGGCGUAAAGCGUGCGCAGGCGGCUUUGCAAGACAGAUGUGAAAUCCCCGGGCUCAACCUGGGAAUGGCAUUUGGGACUGCAAGGCUGGAGUGCGGCAGAGGAGACUGGAAUUCCUGGUGUAGCAGUGAAAUGCGUAGAGAUGUGGAGGAACACCGAUGGCGAAGGCAGCCCCCUGGGUCAAGAUUGACGCUCAUGCACGAAAGCGUGGGAGCAACAGG
This 251-nucleotide ribosomal RNA is filed under the name uncultured bacterium. RNAcentral's name for it is "partial 16S ribosomal RNA". It matches the Rfam family "Bacterial small subunit ribosomal RNA", at positions 524 to 776 of the family's 1533-position model. The record is from RNAcentral.